RNAcentral lists this non-coding RNA (21 nucleotides) under Caenorhabditis elegans. Lineage: Eukaryota; Metazoa; Nematoda; Chromadorea; Rhabditida; Rhabditidae. The record is from RNAcentral.
UAAUUCUGACAUUUCUUCUGA